RNAcentral lists this transfer RNA (152 nucleotides) under Microcaldota archaeon. Its description in RNAcentral is "tRNA-Gly". Lineage: Archaea; Nanobdellati; Microcaldota. The record is from RNAcentral.
GCGACCGUAGUCUAGCCUGGUUAGGAUUCGAGAUUGCCAAUCUCGCGAGCCGGGUUCAAAUGCAACCCCAAGGGGGGCUCCGCCCCCUUAGUGCUGCGCCCCCCAAACUCCCUGUUUGGCUGGUGCUUUGUGUGAAAAUCCCGGCGGUCGCA